This 492-nucleotide ribosomal RNA is filed under the name uncultured bacterium. RNAcentral describes it as "partial 16S ribosomal RNA". It matches the Rfam family "Bacterial small subunit ribosomal RNA", at positions 29 to 507 of the family's 1533-position model. The record is from RNAcentral.
AGUGAACGCUGGCGGUAGGCCUAACACAUGCGAAUCGAACGGCAGCACAGUAAGAGCUUGCUCUUACGGGUGGCGAGUGGCGGACGGGUGAGGAAUACAUCGGAAUCUACUUUUUCGUGGGGGAUAACGUAGGGAAACUUACGCUAAUACCGCAUACGACCUACGGGUGAAAGCAGGGGAUCUUCGGACCUUGCGCGAUUGAAUGAGCCGAUGUCGGAUUAGCUAGUUGGCGGGGUAAAGGCCCACCAAGGCGACGAUCCGUAGCUGGUCUGAGAGGAUGAUCAGCCACACUGGAACUGAGACACGGUCCAGACUCCUACGGGAGGCAGCAGUGGGGAAUAUUGGACAAUGGGCGCAAGCCUGAUCCAGCCAUACCGCGUGGGUGAAGAAGGCCUUCGGGUUGUAAAGCCCUUUUGUUGGGAAAGAAAAGCAGCAGGUUAAUACCCCGCUGUUCUGACGGUACCCAAAGAAUAAGCACCGGCUAACUUCGUG